UUAAAUUGAAGAGUUUGAUCAUGGCUCAGAUUGAACGCUGGCGGCAGGCCUAACACAUGCAAGUAGAACGGUAACAGGAAGAAGCUUGCUUCUUUGCUGACGAGUGGCGGACGGGUGAGUAAUGUCUGGGAAACU
RNAcentral lists this ribosomal RNA (135 nucleotides) under Escherichia coli. Its description in RNAcentral is "partial 16S ribosomal RNA". It matches the Rfam family "Bacterial small subunit ribosomal RNA", at positions 1 to 126 of the family's 1533-position model. Lineage: Bacteria; Pseudomonadati; Pseudomonadota; Gammaproteobacteria; Enterobacterales; Enterobacteriaceae. The record is from RNAcentral.